Molecule: ribosomal RNA, 429 nt
Filed under: uncultured archaeon
Lineage: Archaea
Description: bacterial SSU rRNA
Rfam family: Archaeal small subunit ribosomal RNA
Source: RNAcentral
UACCAGCUCUUCGAGUGGUGUGGAUGUUUAUUGGGCCUAAAGCAUCCGUAGCUGGCUGGGCAAGUCCCCUGUUAAAUCCACCGAUUUAAUCGUUGGAGUGCGGGGGAUACUGUUCGGCUAGGGGACGGGAGAGGCAGACGGUAUUUUCGGGGUAGGGGUGAAAUCCUAUAAUCCCGAGAAGACCACCAGUGGCGAAGGCUGUCUGCUAGAACGCGCCCGACGGUGAGGGAUGAAAGCUGGGGGGAGCGAACCGGAUUAGAUACCCGGGUAGUCCCAGCUGUAAACGAUGCAGGCUAGGUGUUUGGACGGCCACGUGCCGUUCUAGUGCCGCAGGGAAGCCGUUAAGCCUGCCGCCUGGGGAGUACGGCCGCAAGGCUGAAACUUAAAGGAAUUGGCGGGGAGCACCACAAGGGGUGAAGCUUGCGGUUU